RNAcentral lists this unclassified non-coding RNA (430 nucleotides) under soil metagenome. Its description in RNAcentral is "partial contains 5.8S ribosomal RNA, internal transcribed spacer 2, and large subunit ribosomal RNA". The stretch from base 1 to 120 matches the Rfam family "5.8S ribosomal RNA", at positions 35 to 154 of the family's 154-position model. The record is from RNAcentral.
GAUGAAGAACGCAGCGAAAUGCGAUACGUAAUGUGAAUUGCAGAAUUCAGUGAAUCAUCGAAUCUUUGAACGCAUAUUGCGCUCUCUGGUAUUCCGGAGAGCAUGCUUGUUUGAGUAUCAGUAAACACCUCAACUCCCUUUUCUUUUUUGAAAUUGGAGCUGGACUUGAGUGAUCCCAACGCUUUCUUCCAAGAAAGUGGCGGGUUGCUUGAAGUGCAGGUGCAGCUGAACUUUUCUCUGAGCUAUAAGCAUAUCUAUUUAGUCUGCCUAAAAAACAGAUUAUUACCUUUGCUGCAGCUAACAUAAAGGAGACUAGUUCUUGUGCUGACUGAUGCAGGAUUCACAGAGACAGCUUCGGCUGACUUUGUAAACUCGAUCUCAAAUCAAGUAAGACUACCCGCUGAACUUAAGCAUAUCAAUAAGCGGAGGA